This is an RNA transcript of Octopus sinensis (East Asian common octopus), 2320 nucleotides long. It is a transcript of the gene named TLC domain-containing protein 2, with no coding region annotated. NCBI's taxonomy places the organism in Eukaryota, Metazoa, Mollusca, Cephalopoda, Octopoda, Octopodidae. The transcript has 6 exons. The record is from RefSeq and is a predicted model, not a curated record.
UAUCUACAUGUGUGUGUGUGGUGUAUGUGUGUGACUAUGAAUAGAUGUGUAUUGUGAUAGCUUGUAUAAGUGAGUUUGGUGGGGGCGGGCACACACACACACACACGCAAAUGUGCGUAUAUAAUGCACACAGAUUUUAUGCGUGUGUAUGUGGGCGUGUACGUUAUGUAUUUGUGUGUGUGGACGUGGUUGUGUGCUGUGUGUCAUUAAGUAUCUGAUCCUGACAUCAAGCAGCAGCAGCGGCAAUAGAAAGUUGGUCACUUAGCACCAACUCUAUCAUUAGGAGAGAGUGUGGAUGGUCUCUCGUUCCCUGCUCCUUUUUCUUUCUUUUUUUUUUAUUUGAGGAAAUCACAAACGUCCCAGAGAAAAACGAAACAAAACAUACAUCUUCUCCGUAGUCAACAAGUUCGCAAAUCCGAAGAUUUUCUUCUCCAUAUCUCAUUUAUAACAUUCGGUCUGUUUCGUUCGGUCAUUGGUUUUUUUUCUUCUCCUUUUGGGUUUGCCGCCUUGCUUCAUUUCGCGACUAUCACCUGUUGUGACAGUAUAAAACAAUGGAGACAUCGCGUGAGCAAUAUGUUGAUAGAGAUGAAUGGCCACUGCCUGAUUCCACAGCAGCAACCGGAAUCAUAAUAACCACAGUAUCAUUUUUAUUUUUCCAAAUUACAGCUUUCAUUGUGGACCGCUACCUAAAGACAUCAUCUUUUCUUAACAACCCAAAACUGCACUGGCGAUGGAAAAAUGUGUUUAUUUCGUUUACUCACGCCGCUAUCGUUUCUGUUUGCUGUUUAACGAGCUUCUAUUUAACUCCAAAGCUUACAGCAGAUAUGAUCUCAACACACACCCCUUUAUCACAUGGCACAGUGGCACUAUCUGCAGGUUACUUCCUCCAUGAUAUUGUAGAUAUGGUCGUAUAUGACUGGUCCCGAAAAUCUUUAGAGCUUUUAAUCCAUCAUGUUGUGAUUCUAAUUGCUUUCUCAUUCCCUGUUCUAACAUACAAAAGCGUCGGCUACAUGCUUGUGGCGCUUCUAGUUGAGGUCAACUCCAUCUUUCUUCACUUCCGCCAGUUACUGAGAAUACAUAAAGUUGAUAAAAAGUCAUCAUUAUACAGACUUACCAGCCUUCUUAAUUUAGGUACCUUCAUCAUAUUCCGUAUUGCAGCGCUCUGCUGGAUGACUCGGUGGAUCGUCAUCAACAAAACCCAAGUGCCGUUUUUCUUUUAUGUCCUUGCAAACAUCGGCCUAACCACGACCACUGUGAUGAACAUUGUCCUCUUCUAUCGUUGUCUCAAAAGUGAUUUUAUUUGCCAUGCCAAUACAUCCACCACAAACGUGAAGCUCGAAUAGACAUGCAGCUUCUUACACAAGAAAUGAUGAUAUAUUGUUGUUGUUAAUAUCAUCAUCAUCAUCAUCAUUAUUAUUAUUAUUAUUAUUAUUAUUAUUCAAAUCUAGCCAAGAUCAUUUUUGCCUUUUUUGCUUGCAAGCUCAAGAAAAUAAGUACCAGUCAAAUAUUGGGGACUGAUUUAAUCAACUCCAUCCACUCCCUUAUUGUUGCAUAGCUGGUAGAGCAUCGGAAAAAAGUGCAUUGUGAUAUUUCUUCCAAUUCUUUAUUUUCUGAAUUCAGCUUCUGCCAAGGGCAAGUAUUGUUGUCCAUAGCAUUGACAAUUCCCCCCCUCUCCUCAAAAUUGCUGGCUUUGUGGCUAAGUCAAACGCCAAUAUUAUUUAAAGGUAGCAAGCAAGCUGGCAGAGUUGAUAGUGCUAGAGUUGCAGUAUUUGUUCUGCUUUUUUUUAACCUUCUGAGAUUCAAUUCCCACUGGGGUUGACUUUGAUUUUUACCCCUCAAAUGUCAAUAAAAUAAAUUACCAAUCAAGAACUGAUGUUGGUAGUAUCGACCAACUUGCACCCUUCGAAGUUGCUAGCCUUGUGCCUAAGUUAUACUUUGCCUUCCAUCCUUUCAGGGUCAAUAAAAUAAUCACCAAUCAAGUACUGGGGUUGAUGUAAUCAACUUCCACCUCCCUUCAGAGGAGGUGCCAAAAUUUCAAACCUUUAUUAUUAUUAUUAUUAAAACACUAUGGCUGAAAUACGUUGCAGUCACACGAUUAGUUGAAGGUUAAAACGAAGAGAAAGAGGAAGAAGGAAGUGUUAACAACAUGAGGUAGGAGAAAGUAAUAGUUAUUAUGCUAAGAUGUUGUUGAGUGGUUGGUUCAAGAUGCUUAGUGGCAUUUCAUCCAUCAUUACAUUCCGAGUUCAAAUUCUGCCGAGGUCAGCUUUACCUUUUUUCCUUUUGGAGGUCAAUAAAUUAAGUACUCGUUGAGUACUGGGGU